Molecule: long non-coding RNA, 1596 nt
Organism: Zingiber officinale
Lineage: Eukaryota; Viridiplantae; Streptophyta; Magnoliopsida; Zingiberales; Zingiberaceae
Exons: 5
Source: RefSeq, a predicted model, not a curated record
ACAUUUAUCAUAAAUGUAGACAUUUGACCAAUGUGAUUCUUAUUUUUAGAUAAAUGUUUAUACCUAAAGCUAGGCUUUUAGUAUACACUCUAACAGUUCUGUUGCAUGAUGAAUAGGUGUGGGAUGCUUCAACUGGAUAGAAACAGUAUACUGGACAGAAACAGAAUUAUAUAUUUCUAGUGUUUCAUUAUUUCUAUCUAUGAUGUUUUUCUUCUCAACUUCAACUGAUGGUAAAAUCAAAGCACUUGGUUCCAAUGCAGUUUUUCUUCUGGAUGCAGUUUACUAGCACUUGGUUCCAAUGCAGUGCAUAAACUCUGGCAGUGGCCGUGCGAUGAACGAAAUCCAUCGGGCAAGUCAAUUGCAUCUGUUGCUCCUCAGCUCCGUCAGCCACCAAAUGGUAUUCUUAUGACCAAUGAAAGGAGUGAUAACAAUCCAGAAGAAGCAACUGCUUGUAUUGCUUUAUCUAAGAAUGACUCUUAUACAACGUCUGCAUCAGGUGGAAAAGUUUCUCUGUUAAAUAUGUGGACUUUUAAGGUUAUAACCACUUUUAUGCCAACCCCACCGGUAGCCACGUCUUUAGCAUUUCAUCCUGCAGAUAAUAACAUGAUUGCUGCUGGAAUGGAAGAUUCUAGUAUUUUGAUCUAUAAUAUUCGGAUUGAUGAGAUAUUUUGAAGGUAAAUGGAUGUAUUCAGGAACUCCAACUAAACAGUUCAGGUAUUGGAGAUGAGGUUGUUUAAUUUUACAUGUUGCAAGUUCCGGUUGUUUGUUUCUUGAGGAAGAAAAUGAUUCUUGAUUCUGGUAAAGUCUGAAUGCUAAAUAUGUUAUGUAGGGUGCAAGGGUUAUUGCAGAUAUGCUAAAAGAAAAUCAAACUUUACGUGUACUGGAACUUAACAAUAAUAUGAUUGAAUAUUCUGGUUUUGCAAGUCUUGCUGGAGCACUAGUUGAGAAUAAAGCAAUUCGAUCUAUACAUCUCAAGCUAAUAAGACUUACACACACUUAGAUUUUCUAUCCAUGCAGUUCUUUCUUGCAGAUUUAAUUUCUUCAUCAGAUCUGUUGGCUUUCUAGUAUUUAUUGAUUGUACUACUUCUCAGCAAUUAUGUAAAAUUAUAUUUCUUUUUGUUUAGGAAAAAUAACACUUCUAGAUAUUGGCAACAAUGAGAUUGGUCCCAAAGGCGCCUUUAGCAUCGCUGAGUUUGUUAAGAAAACUAAGUCCUUGCUACGGCUGAAUCUUUACAUGAAUGACAUUGGCAAUGCGGUGUGGUUAUUGACUAUUGUUGCUUUAUGCUCCGUUGCUUCACUUUUGAAACAUAAAUUAUCAUCUAAGGUGCAUAUAUAUAUAUCUCACUGGAAAUCAUAUAAAUGAAUUGAUGUUAUUCACCUUUAUUGCUGCUGAGGAAUUUAUUUACUUUCCAUGUACUCUUAGUGAUAAAAAUGAAUUUAUUAUUUGCAAACUAAAAGUGAAUUUAUUUACUUUUCAUGUACUCUUAGUGGUAAACGGUUAUGUCAUUUGGGCCGACUACUAAUGAAUUGAAUUUGAAAGAUUAAAUUGUUGUUUAUGUAGUUAGAUUAAAAUUUUUGGUUUGGAUUAUAUUAAGU